GUAGCACUCCACUGUCGGGAGUUAGCUCACAAAGCGUAUGGGCAUAAGUACCCCUUAGACCUGAGACUGUCACGGUGACUUGCAAGCAACUCACUGUACUUAGGCACUGGAUGACCUGAAUUUCUAAUUCAGGGAUCGGAAAGAUGCUGGGUGCAGUCAAGUACUCGCGAAGUCUGUGUACGAGUCAAGAUGGGAUUGACCGCUCCAGAUUAUAGGAGUUGAUGUCUCGCUGUAUUUCAAUUCAGUAAAACCUUGG
Molecule: long non-coding RNA, 256 nt
Filed under: Phoenix dactylifera (date palm)
Lineage: Eukaryota; Viridiplantae; Streptophyta; Magnoliopsida; Arecales; Arecaceae
Description: long non-coding RNA (PDAC_LNC017807)
Source: RNAcentral